RNAcentral lists this ribosomal RNA (588 nucleotides) under Triticum aestivum (bread wheat). RNAcentral's name for it is "partial small subunit ribosomal RNA". The record is from RNAcentral. Lineage: Eukaryota; Viridiplantae; Streptophyta; Magnoliopsida; Poales; Poaceae.
AUGACCUAUGAGGCGUACGAUAUCAACGGCUACACAUUCUACACCGAGGCCAAGGACAUGAAGAGCGAUGGUUAUCAGAACUCCGGGGUAACGAUGGAAUCCUACACCGGUAACGACAAGGACAGAUACUACGGAAGGAUCGAGGAGAUCUGGGAGCUGAGCUACGCUGGAGAGAAGGUCCCGAUGUUCCGUGUCAGAUGGGCCAAGAGCGUCCUAAAAGAAGACCGGUAUUUCACCACCAUGGUUAUACCCGAAGCCAAAUCCAAGACCGCAGGUGCAAACGUCACCGCGAAAAAUGAGCCAUGGGUACUGGCUUCCCAAGUGGACCAAUGCUUCUUCAUUACCGACCCGUCAAAGCCCAGUCGUGUUGUCGUGAGGAGAGGCAAAAGGAAGAUCAUCGGAAUGGAUGGAGUAGCCAAUGAGCAAGACUUCGACAAGUACGGCGACCCGAGAAUCGAACAUGACAACGAUGAUGAAGUAGCAGCAUACACCACAAGAAGAAGCAGGACCACCCUACCUAAAGGACGUCCGUUCCACAGAAGAACUCCAUUUGCGAAAAAGAAGGGCAAGAAGAUUAUGAACAGAUAG